This 560-nucleotide ribosomal RNA is filed under the name uncultured bacterium. RNAcentral's name for it is "bacterial SSU rRNA". It matches the Rfam family "Bacterial small subunit ribosomal RNA", at positions 338 to 918 of the family's 1533-position model. The record is from RNAcentral.
CCUACGGGAGGCAGCAGUGGGGAAUCUUGCACAAUGGAGGAAACUCUGAUGCAGCGAUGCCGCGUGAGUGAAGAAGGCCUUUGGGUUGUAAAGCUCUUUCGUCGGGGAAGAAAAUGACUGUACCCGAAUAAGAAGGUCCGGCUAACUUCGUGCCAGCAGCCGCGGUAAUACGAAGGGACCUAGCGUAGUUCGGAAUUACUGGGCUUAAAGAGUUCGUAGGUGGUUAAAAAAGUUGAUGGUGAAAUCCCAAGGCUCAACCUUGGAACUGCCAUCAAAACUUUUUAGCUAGAGUAUGAUAGGGGAAAGUGGAAUUUCUAGUGUAGAGGUGAAAUUCGUAGAUAUUAGAAAGAACAUCAAAAGCGAAGGCAACUUUCUGGAUCAUUACUGACACUGAGGAACGAAAGCAUGGGUAGCGAAGAGGAUUAGAUACCCUCGUAGUCCAUGCCGUAAACGAUGUGUGUUAGACGUUGGAAAUUUAUUUUCAGUGUCGCAGGGAAACCGAUAAACACACCGCCUGGGGAGUACGACCGCAAGGUUAAAACUCAAAGGAAUUGACGGGG